Molecule: small nucleolar RNA, 138 nt
Filed under: Anas platyrhynchos (mallard)
Lineage: Eukaryota; Metazoa; Chordata; Aves; Anseriformes; Anatidae
Source: RNAcentral
GUGGCUGUCUUUGCUGUUGACUGCAUUUGCUGGAAACGGAAUGCAGCCGUAAGCAGCCACAAACAGUGAAGUAAAUGGUUCCUGCCGACAGUAGUCUGUAGAGUUAUCAGAUUUUCUGUGCGAUGGUUCCAGUACAUC